CAUCCUGAUUGUGACUGAGGGCGCCAAUCUGAAAGUGACGGGAGCUGAGCCUCUGUGUGCCUGAGUGUUACAGGAAAGGCCUACUGAAGAUGAACGACUUUCGGGGGGGCGGGGGGCUAUGCAGCUCACGGGUGUGGACAGUUAACACGGAUACAAGCUUGUAAAGAAUUCUAAGAUUCUCUGUGUUCCCCGAGUGGGGGAAUUGAAGUUCAGGUGACUUUACUAUGUGGCUGUGUGCAUUCCUCUCUACCGUAAACAGAGGCCAUGCUGAGGUGGCGAAGUCUGCACUACGGUCUGAAGCACGAGAAGGCCCUGGUGAAGACCUCAUGCUCUCACACUUUCCCAGAGGCCUUCCAGAUUAGUCCGUCUAAAGCAGCAUCUUCUGGCUGGCUGGGUCGCUUGCUGAGACGCUGCCUCCCAGCCUUUGACCUGUGUUUUAUCCUCUGAUCCACACGAAGGAAGAACUGACCCCAAAUGCUGUCCUCUGACCACAUAGGUGGUGUGGCUUGUGCACACCCACCCUACCCUCAUACA
This is a non-coding RNA of Peromyscus maniculatus bairdii (prairie deer mouse), 534 nucleotides long. The record is from RefSeq and is a predicted model, not a curated record. Lineage: Eukaryota; Metazoa; Chordata; Mammalia; Rodentia; Cricetidae.